Molecule: ribosomal RNA, 195 nt
Filed under: Triticum aestivum (bread wheat)
Lineage: Eukaryota; Viridiplantae; Streptophyta; Magnoliopsida; Poales; Poaceae
Description: partial small subunit ribosomal RNA
Source: RNAcentral
AUGAGGGGUGGCGACAAAGGGUUGCAGGUUUGGUUGGUGUUGAACCUCCCCCGUGGAUUCAUGAAACAAAGAAGGAUCCUAGGCCAUCUGGUGUUUUGUUCUCAUGGCUACAAGAACAUUUUUACGAGUGCCCAGAGAAUGCCAGUCCGGCUGUUGUGGAGAGGUACGCCAGGGCUUACUUAUGGAAUCUUUUGA